Molecule: long non-coding RNA, 796 nt
Organism: Homo sapiens (human)
Lineage: Eukaryota; Metazoa; Chordata; Mammalia; Primates; Hominidae
Gene: PAFAH1B2P2
Product: PAFAH1B2 pseudogene 2
Source: Ensembl
UCCCUCUUGCAAUAUGUGCUUUUGAUCAUGAAACUGCUGAGAAAAGGCUCCUUCUAAACCACAAAACAAGAUAUGAAGACUGGAGUGAGCCCUCAUCAGCCAGAUGGACUGUUUCAUCUCUUCCGAAAUAGAAACCUCCAACCUACUCAGCCCUUUUGAGGCCAAAAAGAUACCCAUGGGCCCUCAAAAACCAACAGUCUCUACACCAGACUAAAACAAGUUUCCUAAAAGCAUUUUCCUUUUGGGCUCAUUUUUAUUACCUCUCCAUCCCAUGGUCCGAAGAUAAGAAUAAUUUGCAUAUAACAGUCAGUAUUAAAAUUUUUGAUUUGCAAUGGAUCAAUGAAUGACGAGGUCAGCCCAUCUGUGACUGAACCAAUCAAUGAAUGAGAAAUGGGUUGCUGCUGGUGCUGGGGCCCGAGGAGGUCCGCGCCGGAGGAGGGCCACAGGGACUGAGCGAGUGACAGACGCACCACCCGUCAAUGCUGCAACCCUGUAAGGCCUCCAUGGACUCUCUACGUGAGUGUAGAAUGAAUCAAGCCGACUCAAACACAGCAGCUAUUCCACAUGCAGUGGAAGAUAUUCAAGGAGACGACAGAUGGAUAUCUCAGCACAACAGAUUUGUCCUGGAUGGUAAAGACAAAAAGCCUAACGUUGUGUUUGUGGGAGACCCCAUGGUGCAGUUAAUGCAGCAACACGAGAUAUGGCGAGAGCUUUUUUCCCCGUUUCACGCACUGAAUUUUAGAACUGAGGAAGAUACAAGACAUGUUUUAUAGAAAAUAAAGAGUAGAGAACUGGA